AACGGACGCUGGCGGCAUGCCUAACACAUGCAAGUCGAACGAGACCUUCGGGUCUAUGGGCGCACGGGUGCGUAACGCGUGGGAACCUGCCCUUAGGUUCGGAAUAACUCCCCGAAAGGGGUGCUAAUACCGGAUAAUGUCUUCGGACCAAAGAUUUAUCGCCUUUGGGUGGGCCCGCGUUGGAUUAGCUGGUUGGUAGGGUAAAAGCCGACCAAGGCGACGAUCCAUAGCUGGUCUGAGAGGAUGAUCCGCCACACUGGGACUGAGACACGGCCCAGACUCCUACGGGAGGCAGCAGUGGGGAAUAUUGGACAAUGGGCGAAAGCCUGAUCCAGCAAUGCCGCGUGAGUGAUGAAGGCCUUAGGGUUGUAAAGCUCUUUUACCCGGGAUGAUAAUGACAGUACCGGGAGAAUAAGCUCCGGCUAACUCCGUG
Molecule: ribosomal RNA, 433 nt
Filed under: uncultured bacterium
Lineage: Bacteria
Description: partial 16S ribosomal RNA
Rfam family: Bacterial small subunit ribosomal RNA
Source: RNAcentral